CAACAAAAAUCGACAGUGCGAAUUUCGGUUCCCACAUUGGUUUCUUUUAUGUGAUUUAUGAACAUAUUGGAAUAAGAAAAAAUGUGAAAUGAAUCUCUGCUUUCUAUGUUUACUCUCUGCUUUCUUUCGGCAAUUGGGUAAAUCUCUAGAAUUGAUUAACAUCCCUACGCAUUGUAUAGGAGUAAGAACAUGCGAAGAAUAGAUGAUCGCGAGUCUCAUCCUUUUCCCCCACACAAAACACACUCAUGAUGAAUCUCCCAAAUCCUCAUUCUAUCACCUGUUGAAAGCAUGCUCCUGACUGCCAACCAAGUUAUGAAUGCAUAACGCAGAACCCCCUGCGGAAACCAAAUGCUACAACUCUAACUCACCUCAUCACGCUUAUCUGCGGAAACCAAAUGUAAGUUUGUUUCUCAUUUUUAUUUCCUAAAAAAAUUCACCUGAUUUUGAUUUUUUUCUCUAAUAAUUCAUUUUUAUCAAUUUCUUACAUAUUCAUUUCUUAAUUUCUUAUUUAUUUCUAAUAAAAUCAUUUAUUUGAUAAGAUUUAAAAUAAUACUCAUUUAUUUUAAAAUUUUAAAAUUUGAACUAGGCUUUAAUUUUAUUAAAAUAAAUUAUUUAUUAGCUUACAAUAUUAAAAGGGCUUAAGCUCAAUUCUUAGCGUGACCACAUCAUUUUAAAAAUCACAAUGAGAAUAAUGUGUUUUCGCCAUGACAUUCGCUCUUUUAUGGUGGCCUGUUAAUAAUUGGUGUUGGCCAGUAACCCAAAUCAUCUCCCUCAUGACCGUCUAUAUCCUUUUCGCCCCUUUCACUUUCCUAUCUUUGAAAGAAUUGAAAUGCCUCGGAACGAUGGAGAUCAUCGCAACCGAUAAGUUUACACUGUGGCCACAUCCAUGCUUACGGUGAUCAUUAACUUAUGGUCAAAGCUGGGUUUCUGGCAUUCUUUCCGAAGACGUGAAGAUCUAUGCUGCGUCGUUGGUGUUAACAAUAGUGUAUCCAUGCGCCAACGUCUGUUCUAUACAUGAUUAGAUGUCCAAGCUUCUUUCUCUCUUCCCCAACCUUCACGCUGCCUUCCUCUCCCGUGGUCCCAGUGGCGGCUCUGCUACUGCCUUUCCCAGCGCCGAUGGGAAAUCACCUUUAUGGGGAUCGAAGAACGCGACGCAGAUCUAUCCGAUCAGAAUGAUUAGGAGCAGCGAUGUAGUGAAUACGGGUUCAUGGGUUUCGACCUUGGUUCUGGAUCUGACCCGGUUAUCCAAUUGACGUUUUUUCUCAAGAUGAUAUAUGGUUAUUUUCCUGUCAUUAAACACAACAUGAAGAUGAGGACAUCUCAAAGAUCCAUCAUGAAUUUGAGCGGACGAAACAUAUGCCUAAGAUGAAUCCUCAAAGUUUGCCAUUGACUUUAACAAAAAAGGGUUUAUUAUGUUCUUUGAUUCUCAAUAUUGAUUUUGUCGAUUCAUACAUUUAGCUAUAUAUGUUAAUAAGAAUCUCAUAUUGGAUGCAUACAAGUUUACUGAUUUGAUUGUGAUUACCCAUUGGCACAUUAUAUUGCGCCUCUUACUUGCCCAGUUAGGAAUUUCCAAGAAGCACAUGGUUAAUGAGGUUAUCUAUAUGACCUUUUUCUUUGUUGUUCAUGUUUUUACAGACUUGUGUAUUUCUUGAGAAGUAUAUGAGCUCUAGUCUUGCAGUUUUGAUAUAGUUUUUGUGCAGACAACUAUUUUGGUUGUCGUAAGGUAUUGGUAAGCAAGAAAAUUUCUUUCUGAAUUGCAGCUUUGUGAUAAAUGAUUUGAUCUCUUCACCAUUAAUAUGAUUUUGCAGCUUAGUAGUACGGUAAACAAAAAAUAUGUAUACAUGUGUCAUGAUCAAAUGAGAGGUCUGGUGUGAUUCAUGGACUUCUUAUGCUUCAGCAGGGUCAGUUAACAUACAUUUAAGCAAUUUGGGCAGAGUAAAAUUAGAGACAUAGAUGGAUUUUCAUCCUACAAUUCAAAAAACAUCAAGCACAGAUCUACGUACUUGCAAGCCAACUUCCCCUAGAAAAUUAUAACGUUUCUUAAAGUUUGUCGGUGGUGAUAAUCAUGAAUUUAGGUUGCUCUCUUAAAAUGGGUUUCCAUCGUCUAGCCUAUACAUAUAUUUUUCAUUCCAAGAGAUGUAUAUUAUAUAUCUUAUUUUGGUACGAUGCAAAUUUUCUGAUGAAGGCAGCUCAUAUAACAAGUGCGUUGCACAGAAAAUAUGGCAAGCUGCACCAGGAGUUUGUGAAGAGUCUAUGCACAUACAAAGACAUAUUUGAGCUUAGAAACCGAGUCGAAGCAUUUGCUUUGCAGUAUGAGAUGCAUGCUUAUAGCUAUCAGAGAGAUUGUACACUUGCUGAACCAAGUAACAUCCGUAUUACACACUUUACAGAGGACUUCUGACUUCUAGGUUUUGAUUCCUAUAAUUCUAUAGAGUAUGAUCACCAUUGAGCCAAACGGUUGCCGCUUUUGAGUCACUCUCAGACUAGAUGCUUGACAGUGCUUCCGGCUAUUACUAGAACCAGACCAAUGGUCUGCACUAUAAAUUAGAUUCUCGAUUCAAUUAUAGUGACUCGAUAGGUACAUAACAAUUAUAGAUUUUUUUUUAUUUUCUUUCGGAUAGAAUUGUAUUCAAUUUCUUUCUUCGUGUGGGAGUAAACUGAUAAUGAAAAAGGACGUUGGAUGACACAAGAUGAAGCAUACUUUGCCGUUAAAGAAAACGUGGCAUGAGGCAACCAAGUGAAGUGCGCCUAGGAUGGUUGGUAAUCUGCUUUAUGGAGUAAGUCCAGUGUCAGCUACACUCUCUGUUGGGAGACAAGAGCUAUAUGCUCUGUUUGUUGAAGAAACUUUGGAUUUGAGCAGUAUCCAUAGGUAAAAACUCAAGUAAACUUUGAAGCAUCAUUUUAACACGGUUCCUGAUAAGAGAUACAUUGUUUGAGUUUGAUCCUGAUUUCAGUCUGAUGGAAAAUGAACAAGAAGGAAAUGGAUUGACUAGGAGUCUAGGAGAUUCUUCAAGGAGGGAUAUAUUUUUAGUGGCGCAAGAUCAAGAAAUCUGCUUCGGGGAUGUUUCAUAACCGAUGAAAACUUUUAAUGCAAUGCAUGUGCAGGAGUGACAGAGUGAGAGUACAUUUUGGAUUAUAUGCAAUGCAUGUGUAUGAAUGAGAGUACCUUUGUAUAUGUUUUAAAUUCCCACUACUCUAUUUCAUACUUCCUUA
Molecule: long non-coding RNA, 3213 nt
Organism: Brassica rapa (field mustard)
Lineage: Eukaryota; Viridiplantae; Streptophyta; Magnoliopsida; Brassicales; Brassicaceae
Source: RefSeq, a predicted model, not a curated record